GCUGGGCGCGAUGGCUCACGCCUGUAAUCCCAGCACUUUGGAGGCCGAGGCGGGUGGUUCACCUGAGGUCAGGAGCUGGAGACCAACCUGGCCAACAUGGCGAAACCCCGUCUCUA
This is an unclassified non-coding RNA of Macaca fascicularis (crab-eating macaque), 116 nucleotides long. It matches the Rfam family "Metazoan signal recognition particle RNA". From Rfam's summary of the family: The signal recognition particle (SRP) is a universally conserved ribonucleoprotein. It is involved in the co-translational targeting of proteins to membranes. Lineage: Eukaryota; Metazoa; Chordata; Mammalia; Primates; Cercopithecidae. The record is from Ensembl.